UCCGUAGGGACCAAGCGUUGUUCGGAUUUACUGGGCGUAAAGGGCGCGUAGGCGGCGUGUUAAGUCACUUGUGAAAUCUCUAAGCUUAACUUAGAACGGUCAAGUGAUACUGAUGUGCUAGAGUGCAGAAGGGGCAACCGGAAUUCUUGGUGUAGCGGUGAAAUGCGUAGAUAUCAAGAGGAACACCUGAGGUGAAGACGGGUUGCUGGGCUGACACUGACGCUGAGGCGCGAAAGCUAGGGUAGAAAACGGG
Molecule: ribosomal RNA, 253 nt
Filed under: uncultured bacterium
Lineage: Bacteria
Description: partial 16S ribosomal RNA
Rfam family: Bacterial small subunit ribosomal RNA
Source: RNAcentral